RNAcentral lists this ribosomal RNA (426 nucleotides) under uncultured Oribacterium sp. RNAcentral's name for it is "bacterial SSU rRNA". It matches the Rfam family "Bacterial small subunit ribosomal RNA", at positions 355 to 794 of the family's 1533-position model. The record is from RNAcentral. Lineage: Bacteria; Bacillati; Bacillota; Clostridia; Lachnospirales; Lachnospiraceae.
UGGGGAAUAUUGGGGCAAUGGGCGAAAGCCUGACCCAGCAACGCCGCGUGAAGGAAGAAGGUCUUCGGAUUGUAAACUUCUUUUAUCAGGGACGAAGGAAGUGACGGUACCUGACUAAGAAGCCCCGGCUAACUACGUGCCAGCAGCCGCGGUAAUACGUAGGGGGCAAGCGUUAUCCGGAUUUACUGGGUGUAAAGGGAGCGUAGACGGAACGGCAAGUUUGAAGUGAAAUACCCGGGCUUAACUCGGGAACUGCUUUGAAAACUGUCGAUCUAGAGUGUCGGAGAGGUAAGUGGAAUUCCUGGUGUAGUAGUGAAAUGCGUAGAUAUCAGGAAGAACACCGGAGGCGAAGGCGGCUUACUGGACGAUAACUGACGUUGAGGCUCGAAAGCGUGGGGAGCAAACAGGAUUAGAUACCCUGGUAGU